AUAAUUGCAAUUUUAUUUCAGAUUAAUUUAUUUCCUUUAUACUCUUAUAUACUUUAUUUUAUGAAUUUAAAAUAAUUAUUCUAAAGAAUCCACAGGUUUUGUCAGACUGCCAAGGGAAUGGCACAAAAAAAGCUCAAAAAGUCCUUGUCCUGAGUCUGAAGCCUGGAGCCUAGAGAAGCCUUGACCUUGAAGAAGAUACAUUCCAGUCUAGCUGCCUGAGAGCAAGGAGAUAUGGGAGAAUCCCACAGGCCCUUACAGUAUCACUCUCUUCCCACUCUAGUAAGUCACUUAAUCAAUAAACAUGUGUGGUUGUUGUUCAUUCGUUUCAGUUUUGCCUGCCUCUUCAUGAUGCCAUACUGGAAUGGUUUGCCAUAUCCUUCUGAAGAAACAAAUAUAUAUGAACUAAGCCCUGGAGAUACAAAGAAAGGUAAUAUGUGAAGAAUGGAAUUCACAGUGAGAAGCCAUGAAAGCAAGAGAACAGUGACAAUGGCCAAAGGUCAUUUGGAAUCUUGAGGCAAGGGCAGUUGGGAAACCCUAAUGGACAAGAAGGAGAGUCUGGUCUUGACUUCUGAUUGAUCAGGAGCUUCCAGAGAGGAUUUCUGGAAGACUGGAUAUUCCCAUUGGACAUGUUUCCCAAUAUCUCAGAGAAAUCAUCAGCCCUGAACCAUCUUGGUUCUGAACUGAGGGAAUCUGUGUGAAAGUGAUCAACAGCCAGUUAUCUCAAAGCAGUUACCCUGAGAAGAGCUUCAUUUAUUAAACCAUCAUUCAAUCUUAAAGCAAAGCAACCAGAUCUAUUAUUAAGAGGACAAAGGAGGACUAGUGGUGAAGGGUUAUUCAGAAGGAGAGCUCUCAUAGGCCCAGGUAAAGCUAAAUCCUGGGCCAGCCAUCAUUGCUCUCUCUCUCUGGCAGAGGUUUGACCAGAAGGGACACCGAGGAGGGUUAGGUAAAACCAAAUUCCCUACCCAACUGUCAAUUUUUCACUCCUGUGGUGUUUCCUAUCCUGGUACAGACUUCUGUACUCCCUCGUGCCUCCCCAUUCUACUCUCUGUCUAGAAGGGAGGGAUACCCCUGAAGGUCAGCUCACCAAACCAUUCUGACCAGCCAUUUAUUGUAUCCUCCCAGGGGUUUCUACCCUUUUUACAUAUGUUCCCUAUUCUAAUUUGCUUAUGAUAACAAUGUUGGUUUGUUCGAUAAAGUAUUUUACUAUCUUACUGAAGAAACCAAAGCUUCCAAUAUAAACUUCCUCAGCUUCCUUCCUCUGUGUCCAAAUCUUUCUCUCCUCAUAUUUCUUCUUCUUCCUUUUUAAGAUAAGGUUAGCUAACAGCUUAGCUUCUCCACCUGUAGCUUGGUCUCAUGCAAUCCUGCUUCAUUAGAGGACUAUCAUCCUUCAAUUAUUUCCCCUCUCACAUCUUCAGUCUCUAAAUCUCUACUGGCUUUUUCCCUCUGACAAUAUAUUGAGAUCUUCAUCACUCUAAAUAAAAAAACAAUAAAGCCUCUUCA
Molecule: long non-coding RNA, 1500 nt
Organism: Monodelphis domestica (gray short-tailed opossum)
Lineage: Eukaryota; Metazoa; Chordata; Mammalia; Didelphimorphia; Didelphidae
Source: Ensembl